Molecule: ribosomal RNA, 503 nt
Filed under: uncultured bacterium
Lineage: Bacteria
Description: partial 16S ribosomal RNA
Rfam family: Bacterial small subunit ribosomal RNA
Source: RNAcentral
AUUGAACGCUGGCGGCAGGCUUAACACAUGCAAGUCGAGCGGGGUGAUGGUGCUUGCACUAUCACUUAGCGGCGGACGGGUGAGUAAUGCUUAGGAAUCUGCCUAUUAGUGGGGGACAACAUCUCGAAAGGGAUGCUAAUACCGCAUACGUCCUACGGGAGAAAGCAGGGGAUCACUUGUGACCUUGCGCUAAUAGAUGAGCCUAAGUCGGAUUAGCUAGUUGGUGGGGUAAAGGCCUACCAAGGCGACGAUCUGUAGCGGGGCUGAGAGGAUGAUCCGCCACACUGGGACGGAGAAACGGCCCAGACUCCUACGGGAGGCAGCAGUGGGGAAUAUUGGACAAUGGGAGGAACCCUGAUCCAGCCAUGCCGCGUGUGUGAAGAAGGCCUUAUGGUUGUAAAGCACUUUAAGCGAGGAGGAGGCUCUUUUGGUUAAUACCCAAGAUGAGUGGACGUUACUCGCAGAAUAAGCACCGGCUAACUCUGUGCCAGCCGCCGCCGUAA